UUGCAACAAGGAGCAAACUAUUACAUAAUACAACAGCACUCAAGAUGGUUGUUGGGUCAGUGGAUGUGUGAACAGAGCAGAUGGGACGAAGAAAAUUGGAUUGUACUCCAUUCCAAAGGUCAGACAACAUGAAGGGGAUUUCACUAAAUCGCUCACAGAGGAACGUCGUCGUCUCUGGUUGGCAAAUAUUAAGAGGAAAGAUGAACCCUCGAAACAUGUCAGGGUCUGCUCGGACCACUUAAUUACAGGUCGCCCUGCUAACAUGUACGACCGAACAAAUCCUGACUGGGCGCCAACAUUGAAACUUGAGGAGACUGCGCCUACCGAAUCUCUGAAAAAGCAUGCUGAGCUUGAGAGAAAGCAAAACAGAUUUCAGAGAACAGCAAAAAGGCAGGAAACAAAGAUGAGGAACGAUGCAGCCAGUGCUCUUCUUCACCUCCAGGACAGCUGCUAGCACUCCCCCGUGGACAUUGUACAACCAGCGUCUCCUGAAGGUCUAGCCGAUACUGAUGGCACUGAAGCAUCCACCAGCUCCAUCGUCCAAGUGACUCAAGUCCAAGUAGACAGUGAAGUCCAGAGACUCUUAUCAGAGAACAUGACAUUACGGGCAGAGCUGGAAUCUUUGCUGUUGAUCAUGCUGAUGAAAAUGCAAUGAAUGUACAUUAAAUAUUAAUUACAGAAUAUACUUUUUGCAC
This is a long non-coding RNA of Corythoichthys intestinalis (scribbled pipefish), 695 nucleotides long. RefSeq lists it as uncharacterized. NCBI's taxonomy places the organism in Eukaryota, Metazoa, Chordata, Actinopteri, Syngnathiformes, Syngnathidae. The record is from RefSeq and is a predicted model, not a curated record. The transcript has 3 exons.